Molecule: ribosomal RNA, 1431 nt
Filed under: Pyrococcus sp. P12.1
Lineage: Archaea; Methanobacteriati; Methanobacteriota; Thermococci; Thermococcales; Thermococcaceae
Description: 16S ribosomal RNA
Rfam family: Archaeal small subunit ribosomal RNA
Source: RNAcentral
GCGUCCCUUCUGGGACGCCACCGGCGGACGGCUCAGUAACACGUCGGUAACCUACCCUCGGGAGGGGGAUAACCCCGGGAAACUGGGGCUAAUCCCCCAUAGGCCUGGGGUACUGGAAGGUCCCCAGGCCGAAAGGGGACCGUAAGGUCCCGCCCGAGGAUGGGCCGGCGGCCGAUUAGGUAGUUGGUGGGGUAACGGCCCACCAAGCCGAAGAUCGGUACGGGCCGUGAGAGCGGGAGCCCGGAGAUGGACACUGAGACACGGGUCCAGGCCCUACGGGGCGCAGCAGGCGCGAAACCUCCGCAAUGCGGGAAACCGCGACGGGGGGACCCCCAGUGCCGUGCCUCUGGCACGGCUUUUCCGGAGUGUAAAAAGCUCCGGGAAUAAGGGCUGGGCAAGGCCGGUGGCAGCCGCCGCGGUAAUACCGGCGGCCCGAGUGGUGGCCACUAUUAUUGGGCCUAAAGCGGCCGUAGCCGGGCCCGUAAGUCCCUGGCGAAAUCCCACGGCUCAACCGUGGGGCUCGCUGGGGAUACUGCGGGCCUUGGGACCGGGAGAGGCCGGGGGUACCCCCGGGGUAGGGGUGAAAUCCUAUAAUCCCGGGGGGACCGCCAGUGGCGAAGGCGCCCGGCUGGAACGGGUCCGACGGUGAGGGCCGAAGGCCAGGGGAGCGAACCGGAUUAGAUACCCGGGUAGUCCUGGCUGUAAAGGAUGCGGGCUAGGUGUCGGGCGAGCUUCGAGCUCGCCCGGUGCCGUAGGGAAGCCGUUAAGCCCGCCGCCUGGGGAGUACGGCCGCAAGGCUGAAACUUAAAGGAAUUGGCGGGGGAGCACUACAAGGGGUGGAGCGUGCGGUUUAAUUGGAUUCAACGCCGGGAACCUCACCGGGGGCGACGGCAGGAUGAAGGCCAGGCUGAAGGUCUUGCCGGACGCGCCGAGAGGAGGUGCAUGGCCGCCGUCAGCUCGUACCGUGAGGCGUCCACUUAAGUGUGGUAACGAGCGAGACCCGCGCCCCCAGUUGCCAGUCCCUCCCGCUGGGAGGGAGGCACUCUGGGGGGACUGCCGGCGAUAAGCCGGAGGAAGGGGCGGGCGACGGUAGGUCAGUAUGCCCCGAAACCCCCGGGCUACACGCGCGCUACAAUGGGCGGGACAAUGGGACCCGACCCCGAAAGGGGAAGGGAAUCCCCUAAACCCGCCCUCAGUUCGGAUCGCGGGCUGCAACUCGCCCGCGUGAAGCUGGAAUCCCUAGUACCCGCGCGUCAUCAUCGCGCGGCGAAUACGUCCCUGCUCCUUGCACACACCGCCCGUCACUCCACCCGAGCGGGGCCCGGGUGAGGCCCGAUCUCCUUCGGGAGGUCGGGUCGAGCCUGGGCUCCGUGAGGGGGGAGAAGUCGUAACAAGGUAGCCGUAGGGGAACCUACGGCUCGAUCACCUCCU